AUUGAACGCUGGCGGCAUGCCUUACACAUGCAAGUCGAACGGUAACGCGGGGCAACCUGGCGACGAGUGGCGAACGGGUGAGUAAUAUAUCGGAACGUGCCCAGUCGUGGGGGAUAACUGCUCGAAAGAGCAGCUAAUACCGCAUAACGUCGCAAGACCAAAGAGGGGGACCUUCGGGCCUCUUGCCAUCAGAUGUGCCCAGAUGGGAUUAGCUAGUAGGUGGGUAACGGCUCACCUAGGCGACGAUCCCUAGCUGGUCUGAGAGGAUGACCAGCCACACUGGAACUGAGACACGGUCCAGACUCCUACGGGAGGCAGCAGUGGGGAAUAUUGCACAAUGGGCGCAAGCCUGAUGCAGCCAUGCCGCGUGUAUGAAGAAGGCCUCGGUUGUAAGUAC
Molecule: ribosomal RNA, 397 nt
Filed under: uncultured bacterium
Lineage: Bacteria
Description: bacterial SSU rRNA
Rfam family: Bacterial small subunit ribosomal RNA
Source: RNAcentral